AAUGAACGCUGGCGGCAUGCCUAACACAUGCAAGUCGAACGAGACCUUCGGUUAUAGUGGCGUACGGGUGCGUAACGCGUGGGAACCUGCCCUUAGGCUCGGAAAAACUCCCCGAAAGGGGUGCUAAUACCGGCUAAUGUCUUCGGACCAAAGAUUUAUCGCCUUUGGAUGGGCCCGCGUUGGAUUAGCUAGUUGGUAGGGUAAAAGCCUACCAAGGCGACGUUACAUAGCUGGUCUGAGAGGAUGAUCAGCCACACUGGGACUGAGACACGGCCCAGACUCCUACGGGAGGCAGCGGUGGGGAAUAUUAGACAAUGGGCGAGAGCCUGAUCCAGCAAUGCCGCGUGAGUGAUGAAGGCCUUAGGGUUGUAAAGCGCUUUUACCCGGGAUGAUAAUGACAGUACCGGGAGAAUAAGCUCCGGCUAACUCCGUG
Molecule: ribosomal RNA, 433 nt
Filed under: uncultured bacterium
Lineage: Bacteria
Description: partial 16S ribosomal RNA
Rfam family: Bacterial small subunit ribosomal RNA
Source: RNAcentral